UGUGCUGUAGCUUAGGGGUUAAAGCACCUGUCUUGUAAACAGGGGAUCCUGGGUUCAAAUCCUAGCAGUGCCU
This 73-nucleotide transfer RNA is filed under the name Perca fluviatilis (European perch). It matches the Rfam family "tRNA". Rfam says of the family: Transfer RNA (tRNA) molecules are approximately 80 nucleotides in length. Their secondary structure includes four short double-helical elements and three loops (D, anti-codon, and T loops). The record is from Rfam by way of RNAcentral. Lineage: Eukaryota; Metazoa; Chordata; Actinopteri; Perciformes; Percidae.